UACAGAGGGGGCAAGCGUUGUUCGGAAUUACUGGGCGUAAAGAGUGUGUAGGUGGUGUCGUAAGUUUGGUGUGAAAUCUCCCGGCUUAACUGGGAGGGUGCGCCGAAGACUGCGAUGCUGGAGUAUGGGAGAGGAAAGCGGAAUUCCUGGUGUAGCGGUGAAAUGCGUAGAUAUCAGGAGGAACACCUGCGGUGUAGACGGCUUUCUGGACCAUUACUGACACUGAGACACGAAAGCGUGGGUAGCAAACAGG
Molecule: ribosomal RNA, 253 nt
Filed under: uncultured bacterium
Lineage: Bacteria
Description: partial 16S ribosomal RNA
Rfam family: Bacterial small subunit ribosomal RNA
Source: RNAcentral